UACGUAGGGUGCGAGCGUUAAUCGGAAUUACUGGGCGUAAAGCGUGCGCAGGCGGUUCGUUAAGUCAGACGUGAAAUCCCUAGGCUCAACCUAGGAACUGCGUCUGAUACUGGAUGGCUUGAAUCCGGGAGAGGGAUGCAGAAUUCCAGGUGUAGCGGUGAAAUGCGUAGAUAUCUGGAGGAAUACCGGUGGCGAAGGCGGCAUCCUGGACCGGCAUUGACGCUGAGGAGCGAAAGCCAGGGGAGCAAACGGG
RNAcentral lists this ribosomal RNA (253 nucleotides) under uncultured bacterium. RNAcentral describes it as "partial 16S ribosomal RNA". It matches the Rfam family "Bacterial small subunit ribosomal RNA", at positions 524 to 776 of the family's 1533-position model. The record is from RNAcentral.